GAGCAGGCGAAGCGGAAUAUCCUCGGAUUGAAUGCUGCGCGUCUUUUCAAUCUGGACCCGACGCCGGUGAAAAAUAUCAUCUAAGGGGCGAUCCUGCGCGACAGAUAACUAAACAAGAAAACAUAAAAUACNNNNNNNNAUAAUGCGAAGCGUUUUUGCUGCGGCCAUAGCCGUUCUGCUUCUUGUCUCAAGCGAGGCGA
RNAcentral lists this unclassified non-coding RNA (200 nucleotides) under Hevea brasiliensis (rubber tree). Lineage: Eukaryota; Viridiplantae; Streptophyta; Magnoliopsida; Malpighiales; Euphorbiaceae. The record is from RNAcentral.